Molecule: long non-coding RNA, 1183 nt
Filed under: Parus major (Great Tit)
Lineage: Eukaryota; Metazoa; Chordata; Aves; Passeriformes; Paridae
Description: lncRNA (ENSPMJG00000016913.1)
Source: RNAcentral
CGCGGCUCCCGCCGCCGCCCCACAGAGAACGCAGCGCCCGCGGCGGGAGCGGCGCCACGCGGGCCACGGCACCAAAGAGCCCCGGCAGCAGCUCCGGCCCGGUAGCUCCGGCCCAGUAGCUACAGCCCACCGUGCCGCCCGCCGUACCCACCGCGCUCCGCGGCCGCCACCACACACUCACAAACCCGGGGCCGCGCGCUGCCCCAGCAGCGCCCGCGAUGGGCAGCGAGAGCAGGCCCGGGCCCGCCCCCUCCGGUACGGCCCCGCCUCCCGAGCCGGUGGCGCGCGGCCGCCGUGAGGGGGUCGGGCGGCCCCAGGGGCCUGAAGAGGAGCAGCGCGUCAUGGCACGGCAGGCACGUCUCAGUGAGCGGAAUUAUUCUAACGAGCCGUCAUUUGACCUUAGUGUUAGUUAUGGGCAGGAACUACCCACACAGAUGUUGAUGAUUUUUUAAUUGCAUUGGAUGAUAGAAACUGGAAAAAAGACUGACCCAACCAAACUCAUUUCAAAGAAACUAUUAAACAGCCAUUAGAUGACAACAAUUCAUGCUUAUUUUCAUCCAAAGCUGAACCUCUACCCUGAACAGAAAAUUAUUACUUCUCAAAGCAGAUUUUUCUCAAGAAUUAAGAAUAGAAGAUUUAUUUUCAAUAUAAACUGCAUCUUUUAUUUGAAGAGCAAGAUGUGAUGUAUGCUGAUAGAUUUAAAAACUGCUCCAUCACCUCUCUAGGAAGCCUGUUGCAGGGUUUGACUAUUCUCUUAGUAAAGAAUGCCCAAUCUAAAGUCCCCUGAUGGAGCUUUGAGCCAUUCAAAUGUCCUGUCACACAGGACACAAGGUGAGGCCACAGCACCGCUGAGUGUGGACGGAUAACCAUCUGUGCUGAGCAGCUCUUUGUGCUGGGUUUGAUGCACCCCAGCAUGGAGUUCACACUCUGGCUGCCUGGGCACACGGCUGACUCACAUGGAGCUGCUGCCAGCCAGCACCCCCAGAUCCCUCUCUGCAGGGCUGAUCUCCAGCCACUCCUCUCCCAGUCUGUACUAGUGCAGAAUCUGGCAUUUUCCUCCCAUCAGUCAUUGUCCAAACCCCUGACCUAUCUAGAUCUCUCUCCCAAUGUCUUCUGUUCCUCAAGAGAGUAAACAACACCCCCCAGUUUGGUAUAAUCAAUAAACCUGCUAAUGAUGCAUUCA